This 16819-nucleotide long non-coding RNA is filed under the name Triticum aestivum (bread wheat). RNAcentral describes it as "long non-coding RNA (TAES_LNC017486)". Lineage: Eukaryota; Viridiplantae; Streptophyta; Magnoliopsida; Poales; Poaceae. The record is from RNAcentral.
UUUAGCCUUUUGUGGUCAACCAACAAGCCUGGGUUCUGCUCAUCUUUAUCUUACUAAUAUGUUAUUGUGUGGACUUAAUUAGUAUAUGAUGGUGUGCACCUUUAAGUCAUUUGGUGACCUUAAUGGGAUCAUGUAAUCGAAUGCUUAAGCCUUUCGUUGUGGAAACUUGAUGUUUUAUUUGUGUGGCUAUGCUUUCAACAGACUUGGGAGUUAGUCAUAGCUCUGCACGUAUAUGUUUCUGCCAUGUAGAUAAUUGCCCUACUUCCUACGGGUGGUGAUUUUUUUUUCAAAAAAGUGGAUAGCCCUGGCCUCUCCACUAUCAUGACACACACAACCGUAAUUUUUGAAUGUGCAAGAGUUUUACAAAGAAGCCUCAGUAGCAAUAAAAAUAAAAAGAUAGGUGGUGAGUUAUGGACUGCCUGUUUAGAGAAUUUCAAAAGCAGAGUGGCGUAGCGUAGCAUAAAGGUACAUGAACAUUUCAUCAGUUUUCAGCGAGUGUAAUUGUUCCUUUUCAGCAAGUUGUGUAGGGAAUUCCUAUAUGCCCUUUUGGUUAUCUACUUCCCCCGUUUCAUUUGUCCAAAUGCGUGCUUUAUGCUACAUAAAAUUUAUUCACUGGAUUGUAUUAACUCAUUGUGAUCUUGUCGACUUUUAACCAAAUAUAUGUCACAUCAAAUUUAUGGCCAUAAACUGUCUCACCUCAGUUUUAAUAGAGCUAGGCUGAACUCCGACCAAUUCUCAACUCCUGGUCUCACCUACCAGAAUCAUGAGCUGUGAAGAGGCAGUCUCACAACAGUGGUGCUGUUUGCAUAUCACCAGCGAUCCUGCGACUGGUGUUGUGGAGCGUCAUUGCGUGCUGCGGUCGCGUCGUGCUACGAGAGUGUCCCAUAAAAUCACUACGGAAACCUCUAAGUCGCCUACUGCUGCAAGGGAUGAGGACAGGUACUUGCCAAGAGGUCACCAGAUGCGCGGGGAAGUGUCACUGGUACGAGGCCGGUGCCACGAUCGAGAAGAGGCGGGCUCUCAGCAGUGCCGCUGUUUACGAAGAGGUGGCCUCGCAGCAGUGCCACUACGACCUGUGUUGUCGAACAUCACCAGGUGUUGCGGUCAUGUCGUGUGCAGUGGUUGCCCAUAGUGCUGCCAUGGCAUCGACUGCAAUGCCAGCAAAGUUGCGUGGCCUCGGCUUCAACACUGUCAAUGCUACAAUGUCAUCGACUGGCACCAUCGGCAAAUAGAUGAUGCUGGUUAUGGUGUACGAUAUGGGUUAACAGCCAAAGAUGCAGUGUGGCGCUGCUGCUACGGUCCAGCGACAUUAUUGGGUUGCUCCUACAUAGAGAACUACAACUAAUGUCGAGACUUGGGCAGGUCUUUUUCUGGCAUGAUACGUGGUCUGAAGGCGAGGCACAACCAAUACCAUAUCAUGACCCGAGGUAUGAUGGGCCGGGCUAAGAAAUUAAGUAAGCGAACGGUAUGACCCAAUAUGAGAUAGUGCGCUGGCCCACAUCACAGGCCACAACCCACAACACACAAACCCACAGAUCUCCCUCUCCCCCCCUCUCUCUCCCUCUCCCCCUCUCUCCCUCUCCCCCUUGGAACUGUCUAUGUUUCGCUUGCUGCGAGAUGCCGGGAGCUCGCUUCUGGUGAUCUUGUACUGGGCCGGCCCAUUAGUUGUUAUCAAACCUUAGUUAGUUCGUCCAUUUUCUUUCUUUCUUUUGUUUCUUUUUUUUGUUACUUUUUCAAAAAGCAUUGAGCAAGCAUUCAAAAUUGAGAGAAGAGUAUUAUUUACUAAAGAUUCGCCCCAUUAUGAUGGAAUUCUCUCAUCAUAAGUAUGACAGGUUGAUCUUGAUCUUAACGUGUUCUGGGGACUUGGUACGCCAAGAUGUUGUUCUAUAAAACAUCUUUAGAAAACACACAUAUACAAGUUAGACUGCUAAAUAUGAGAGUUGGGCUCUCUGUAGUAAACUGAUGAAGAGGCACUAGAAUAUGUCAUACAAGCUCCUACCCACGGAAAAGUCAUUUGGCAAACUAGUAUCGAUCAAGGCUUUACAUAAAACUUGUUUGCACAAAACUUGCAGUUCAAAGCAUAGUCCACUAUUAAAGUUGUUUUUUUGCGGGUACACUAUUCAAGUUGUUAAUGAGUGUUGUUUGGAGUUCUAGUCAAAAGUUAAAAUUAACAGUUCACCUAAAUACCGGUAUAUACAUAAGCAAUGUUUUGAAACCACGGGUAAACUCUAUGUGCCUCUAAAUAAGAUCUGGCGGGGAAUUGUUGGAAUCAUUGGGCUUUUAGCCAUUUACCAUGUCCAAUUAGUCCUAAAAAUCCCAUAGGCCUGUAUGGCCGAUUCUUGCAUGAAAAUGGGAGUGAGGAAAGUUUAGUCCCUUCCCUAUUAUAGAGGGUGUAUUGGACCAACAUGUAAAGUUGACACCUUCACACGCCGCUAAGAGAUUGAGAAUAGGACAUAUACACACGCGCUCCUACCCACCUCGCGAUGGAAUGCCUUGCACACGCGUCAUGUUUCAUGAUUGAGCCGAGCCAGUCUAGGACCUAUGCCACUUGUGUGUCCUGUCCUCUUUUUGUCACAUAAGAAAGAAACUGAAACACUUUUGCACUCGUGAAAAACGAAACCAAACUGUUGUGGACUGUUCCCCUUCGUAUCCCCAUUACUAUUCAGUUUCGCUUCAUCUAGUCUGUGAGAAGUCAAUCUUAUUCCAUAGACAAAGUCACUUCCUCUCCUUUGUCCAUGCCUCCUGGUUCCCAAGCAUUGCGCCACCUACGGUUUUCCCACCUCGCUCCUCAACGUACGUCACAAAGUGAGACAGUAGGCCUCCAGAACCCCGUCUUGUGAUCCUAUACGGGAGAGGGUGAUCAGGUUUUUGGCGAGCGUUCUCAUGUGACUGCUGGAUUCUUCUCCACGGUGCCUGCACACAAUGACCUCCUCAACGUCCACGACCUCCUCAGGGAUAUGGCGACUGGUGCGCCUAUCUUCCACGACACUGUAUGUGUUCUUACCCUUUUGUUUGAGAUCGCUUGAGGAAUUCUCAUAGUAGAAAUUGAUCUGUUGAUGUUACUUUUAUCAUAUACUAGCCAGGUGGCCCUCGCAAAUGCAAGGGCAUGAUCUUUAGCACGUUCUGAAAUGUGAAGUGUUUCUUUUUAUCUUAAGAAAAUAUGCCACUAUUGAAUGCAAUUGGCAUCGUUAUAAACACUAAAGUGUGCUAUAACUACUUGGUAUGACCACUAUAUUAUUUGCUUAAUUUAGAACUUUAUUAGUUCAUAGAAUGAGCCAAACAACAUUAAAGCAUACUAUUUUGCAUAUUAGUUCACUGGGCGCAUGUGAAAAAGAAAAGAGAAAAAAUAUGGAAUGGUACGCUGAACUAGGACCAAUCAUAGACUAAUUAAAUACAUAUUUUAAAGUAUUAUAUAAAAGAUCUAUAUUAAAUACAUGAAUUAUCUAGUUGCAGUGGAUUUCCUCAUUAGUUGCUUUAUCCCACAAAUUUUGCCAAAAAUGUAAUAUAGAUGGCAAGUAAGUCACACCUGUACGUUGUAAUUUUUAAGUUCUAAUAAUCCAUUGAACUUGAUGACUUUGAAAUUCAUACCUGUCACGCGUCUAAACUUCCAUGUAUCCUGGUUGGAGUGGAAUGAUUCUAGCCACUAUACAAUAUUUCUAGCAUAGCUCAUAGGUAAAAAAAGAACUGCAGAAAAAUGCUACAAUGGUCAAUUAGUGCAUCAGUCUUCUCGGAAUCAUUGACUCCUCACUAUACACGGUUACAUAUUCUGGCAACCCUUUUUAUUUCCGUCACACUGAGAUGACCUUUACACGGUUACAUAUUCUGGCAACCCUUUUCUGUUAACCGUAUGUGACCUUUACUGGAUGAUAUAAUUUCUGUGGAGCAAAGUGCUUUUAUUCCGGGAAGGAUGAUCACUGAUAAUGCCCUAGUGGCUUUUGAAUGCAUACAUCACAUCAAGCAGGAAAAGGACCCAACGAAAAGUUUUUGUGCAUAUAAAUUUGAUUUGUCUAAAGCCUAUGAUAGGGUGGACUGGGUAUUCUUGGAGCAGGUGAUGCAUAAGUUGGGUUUCUCUCAACGGUGGGUGGACUGGAUAAUGUUUUGUGUCACAUCGGUGAGAUAUUCUGUCAAAUUAAAUGGGACCCUCUUGGAUUCAUUUGCACCGUUGCGUGGUCUUCGGCAAGGCGACCCUCUUUUCCCUUUUUUGUUCCUCUUUGUGGCUGAUGGUUUAUCUGCAAUUCUGAAGCAUAGUCUUUCUUGUGGUGAUAUAACUCCUAUUAAGGUGUGUAGAAGGGCUCCGGGCAUCUCACAUCUAUUAUUUGCGGAUGACACUUUGCUAUUCUUUGAGGCUUCACUAGCACAGGCUGAAAAGGUGAAGCAAGCUUUGGAUCUAUAUGGUGCAGCUACUGGUCAAAGUUUAAAUUUUAACAAGUGCUCAAUUUUGUUUGGAAGUACUUGCCCUGCUGCUGUCCACGAACAAGUUCGGGGUGCACUAAACGUGACUAGCUUGGUUUUCGAAGAGAAGUAUCUAGGGCUUCCAACUCCAGACGGUCGCAUGUCGAAAGGCCGCUUCCAAAACCUUCAGAUGAGUUUGACCAAACGGCUUUUACAGUGGGGUGAUGGUUUUCUAGCACAGCCUGGCAGAGAAACUCUUAUUAAAUCUAUAGCCCAGGCAUUACCCACCCACAUUAUGGGUGUGUUCAAAUUACCAUUCUCUCUGUGUGAUGAAUUAACUAGGAUGGUAAGGAGUUUUUAUUGGGGCUCUGCUAAGGGGAAAAAGAAAAGUACACUGGUGAGCUUGGGAUGAUCUUCUACAACCAAAAGAUAAAGGUGGUGCUGGUUUCCGAGAUUUUCGGCUCUUUAAUCAAGCCCUUCUGGCUAGGCAAGCUUGGAGGUUAAUUGUUAAGCCAGAAAGUCUAUGUGCACAGGUACUGAAGGCCCGGUACUAUCCGAAUGGUAAGAUUGAGGACACGGUCUUCACGGGGAAUGCAUCUUCCUCUUGGCAAGCAGUGAGUUAUGGACUUGAGCUUUUGAAAAAAGGAUUGAUAUCGAGAGUGGGCAACGGGAGGAGUAUCCGUGUGUGGCGUGACAAUUGGAUUCCCAGGCCCUUCUCAUACAAACCUAUUACUGUCCAAGGAAGAUGUCGCAUUAGAUUUGUCUCUGAAUUGUUGAAUGUAAACGACUCUUGGAAUUAUGGUCUGUUGCAAAAUUAUUUCAUGACGGCCGAUGUAGUUGAGAUUAUUAAGAUUCGAGCUUCACCUAGGCAGGAGGCCGAUACAAUUGCUUGGGGACCAGGCAAGUAUGGAGUUUUUACAGUAAAAAGUGCUUAUCAAUUAGCCUUUGAAGAGGUGUACAGAGAUACUGCUACAGGGUCUAGUUCUAGACCGGAUGGACGCCGUGAUUGCUGGAAGUUUAUUUGGGCUUGUGAGGUUCCUCCUACAGCUUGCAAUUUUGCAUGGAGAUUAGCGACGAACUCGUUGCCCACGUGGCAGAACAAACACACUAGAGGGCUGGAAAUAGAUGAUUUAUGUCCUGUGUGUUCGGUUGAGACUGAGGAUAAAAAAUUUGGAUACAUGACAUGAACAUAAUAAUAUGUAUAUAAUUUAAGCGUAUCAUAAUCAUGAACAUAAUAAAAAUACACCCGAUCAACACAAAUAUAUAUGGGGUCGGGGUGUGGUGUCAGGGUGUCGGGUUGUCGGGGUCGGGGUGUCAUGGUGUCAGGGUCGGGGUCGGGGUGUGGGUCAGGGUGUGGUGUCAGGGUGNNNNNNNNNNNNNNNNNNNNNNNNNNNNNNNNNNNNNNNNNNNNNNNNNNNNNNNNNNNNNNNNNNNNNNNNNNNNNNNNNNNNNNNNNNNNNNNNNNNNNNNNNNNNNNNNNNNNNNNNNNNNNNNNNNNNNNNNNNNNNNNNNNNNNNNNNNNNNNNNNNNNNNNNNNNNNNNNNNNNNNNNNNNNNNNNNNNNNNNNNNNNNNNNNNNNNNNNNNNNNNNNNNNNNNNNNNNNNNNNNNNNNNNNNNNNNNNNNNNNNNNNNNNNNNNNNNNNNNNNNNNNNNNNNNNNNNNNNNNNNNNNNNNNNNNNNNNNNNNNNNNNNNNNNNNNNNNNNNNNNNNNNNNNNNNNNNNNNNNNNNNNNNNNNNNNNNNNNUCUUCUUCUUCUUCUUCUUCUUCUUCUUCUUCUUCUUCUUCUUCUUCUUCUUCUUCUUCUUCUUCUUCUUCUUCUUCUUCUUCUUCUUCUUCUUCUUCUUCUUCUUCUUCUUCUUCUUCUUCUUCUUCUUCUUCUUCUUCUUCUUCUUCUUCUUCUUCUUCUUCUUCUUCUUCUUCUUCUUCUUCUUCUUCUUCUUCUUCUUCUUCUUCUUCUUCUUCUUCUUCUUCUUCUUCUUCUUCUUCUCCUUCUUCUUCUUCUUCUUCUUCUUCUUCUUCUUCUUCCUCUUCUUCUUCUUCUUCUUCUUCUUCUUCUUCUUCUUCUUCUUCUUCUUCUUCUUCUUCUUCUUCUUCUUCUUCUUCUUCUUCUUCUUCUUCUUCUUCUUCUUCUUCUUCUUCUUCUUCUUCUUCUUCUUCUUCUUCUUCUUCUUCUUCUUCUUCUUCUUCUUCUUCUUCUUCUUCUUCUUCUUCUUCUUCUUCUUCUUCUUCUUCUNNNNNNNNNNNNNNNNNNNNNNNNNNNNNNNNNNNNNNNNNNNNNNNNNNNNNNNNNNNNNNNNNNNNNNNNNNNNNNNNNNNNNNNNNNNNNNNNNNNNNNNNNNNNNNNNNNNNNNNNNNNNNNNNNNNNNNNNNNNNNNNNNNNNNNNNNNNNNNNNNNNNNNNNNNNNNNNNNNNNNNNNNNNNNNNNNNNNNNNNNNNNNNNNNNNNNNNNNNNNNNNNNNNNNNNNNNNNNNNNNNNNNNNNNNNNNNNNNNNNNNNNNNNNNNNNNNNNNNNNNNNNNNNNNNNNNNNNNNNNNAGGGGAGGGGUGCGGUGCGGCCGGCUACGGCAGACGGGGUCAGCGGCGGCGGCGCGGGUGUGGGUGGGGAGGGAAUGAGAGAGUGGAGAGAAGAGACAGAGGACGGGGGCGGGACGGCCGUUAACGUACCCGCCUCUUUGCCGUCAGCCAACGGUCGGCAAAGAUUCUUUGUCGUCCGCUUGCGGACGACAAAGAGGUGGGGCCGGUGGGCUUGAGUUGGUUAAACAAUAACUGGACCCACCCACCUCUUUGCCGUCUGCUAGCGGACGUCAAAGAUUCUUUGCCGUCAGCCAGCGGACGACAAAGAAUUGGCUGAUGGCAAAGACCUUGUUUGCCAUCAGCCACAUCUUUGUCGUCCGUUUUCGUGUGGCUGACGGCAAAGACCUUCUUUGCCGUCAGCCAGCGGACGGCAAAGAGUUGGUAGACGGCAAAUAAGCUAAUUCCAGUAGUGCGUGGUAUCCCUUGUUUUCCUGUCCUGAAAGGUUACUUAGAGCGGGCCAAUCGUUGAUGGUUACAAACAACAACGCGUGCAGGUUAAAUUCCUCCUGUUUGUGCUCAUCCCACACACGUACACCGUUCCAUUCCACAGCUGUAAAUGUUUUUCAACUAAUGGCCUUAGGUACACAUCAAUAUCGUUGCCGGGUUGCUUAGGGCCUUGGAUGAGAACUAGCAUCAUAAUGAACUUCCACUUCAUGCACAUCCAAGGAGGAAGGUUAUACAUACAUAGAGUCACGGGCCAGGUGCUGUGAUUGCUGCUCUGCUCCCCGAAAGGAUUAAUGCCAUCCACACUUAAACCAAACCAUACGUUCCUUGGGUCACCUGCAAACUCAGCCCAGUACUUUCUCUCGAUUUUUCUCCACUGCGACCCGUCAGUGGGUGCUCUCAACUUCCCGUCUUUCUUACGGUCCUCUCUGUGCCAUCGCAUCAACUUGGCAUGCUCUUCGUUUCUGAACAGACGUUUCAACCGUGGUAUUAUAGGAGCAUACCACAUCACCUUCGCAGGAACCCUCUUCCUGGGGGGCUCGCCGUCAACAUCAUCAGGGUCAUCUCGUCUGAUCUUAUACCGCAAUGCACCGCAUACCGGGCAUGCGUUCAAAUCCUCAUACGCACCACGGUAGAGGAUGCAGUCAUUAGGGCAUGCAUGUAUCUUAUGCACCUCCAAUCUUAGAGGGCAUACGACCUUCUUUGUUGCGUACGUACUGCCGGGCAAUUCGUUAUCCUUUGGAAGCUUCUUCUUCAAUAUUUUCAGUAGCUUCUCAAAUCCUUUGUCAGGCACAGCAUUCUCUGCCUUCCACUGUAGGAAUUCCAGUACGGUACCGAGCUUUGUGUUGCCAUCUUCGCAAUUGGGGUACAACCCUUUUUUGUGAUCCUCUAACAUGCGAUCGAACUUCAGCUUCUCCUUUUGACUUUCGCACUGUCUCCUUGCAUCAACAAUGACCCGGAAGAGAUCGUCAUCAUCGGGCACAUCGUCUGGUUCCUGAUCUUGAUCUUCAGCAGCUUCCCCCGUUGUAUUAUCACCGUAUUCACGGGGCAUAUAGUUGUCAUUGUCCUCUUCUUCUUCGCUGUCUUCCAUCAUAACCCCUAUUUCUCUGUGCCUCGUCCAAACAUUAUAAUGUGGCAUGAAACCCUUAUAAAGCAGGUGGGUGUGAAGGAUUUUUCGGUCAGAGUAAGACUUUGUAUUCCCACAAUUAGGGCAUGGACAACACAUAAAACCAUUCUGCUUGUUUGCCUUAGCCACUUCGAGAAAAUUAUGCAGGCCCUUAAUGUACUCGGAGGUGUGUCUGUCACCAUACAUCCAUUGCCGGUUCAUCUGCGUGCAUUAUAUGUAAUUAUGUGUGUCAAAAGUAAGAAAAUUAGACAAGUAUCUAUCUAAAGUAAGAAUUUUUUUCUUUCAGAAAGAAGAUAAGAAGAAGAGGCUCACCACGGUGGUGUCGGCGACGAGAUCGGCGCAGGCGAUCGACGGCGGUGAAGACGGGGACGGGACGUGACGGACCGCUAAACCUAGACAAAUCUCGGGAAAAAUGGAGCUCAGAGGUCGAGUUCGAGAAAGCUUAACUAGUGUGGCUCGAGCAUUUCAUCGAACACCUCAUGUGCAUAGGAGGUGAGCUAGAGCACCCAAAUGCCCUCCCCUCGCCGGCCAGAAAAAACAGAGCACUGUGGAGUGCUCUGCCGCGGCGAUGGGCUAUAUAUAGGCAACUCAUUUGUCCCGGUUCGUGGCUGGAACCGGGACUAAAGCCCCGCCUUCUGUCCCGGUUCGAGCCACGAACCGGGACCAAUGGAUGUGGGCCAUGAGCGAGGCCCAUUGGUCCCGGUUCAUGCCAGGAACCGGGACAAAUGGGUCCAGACGAACCGAGACCAAUACCCACGAGGCCCCGGCCGUCCCCCUGGGCUCACGAACCGGGACGUAUGCCCCCCAUAGGUCCCGGUUCUUGACUGAACCGGGACUAAUGGGCUGGCCAGGCCCGAACCAAAGCCCUGUUUUCUACUAGUGCAUGAAAACCCAGCCUACUACAAUGAUUUCAUGGAGGGUGUGACCAACGAGGGCGGCCAAGUGUACGACGAAGACGAGACCCGAAUCCAAGACGGCCGCGACGAAGGGCCAGAGGACAUGGACGUUCACGACCAGGGCCAAGAAUACACCUACGAACACGACAUCCAAGGGUAUAAAGGUGAUGUGGCAAUCGAUGGCCAAGACCAAAGCCAACGAGUUGAGCUUGGAAAGAUAUCGAAAGAAGUGGAGAUCAUGAUGAUAUAUAGACUUGAGCCAGAUGUCGCCAAAGAGAAGAGGUUGGUUCGAGAAGAAGCAAAAGGAGGUGCUCGAGAUAGAUGGAUGAACUAUGGCAGAGAUGUGAAUUUUUGUAUGUCUGCAUAUGUGCCGGCAUGAUCUACGGCCGAGAUGCACCAACUAUGGUCAUGAGAGGAGGUUUUUGUGUGUGCUGGCACAUGAGCCGAUCAUUAGCACUUACGCCAGCAUGAACUACGACCAAGAGAGGCCCUUUUUUGCCGACAUGUAUGCCAGCCGCUGGCACAAUCAUUAGAAGGAACUAUAGACAAUUCUAUAUUCGUAUCUACUUGAGUACACCCCCUUAAAACACAUGGAUGACCCAAAUUAUCCGAUACCCCUCGUUAGCAAGGGCAUGAUGGUCAUAUUUGUAAAAGUGACCCGCCCUGGGACGCACACUAUUUAUACAUAUCGUACGUCCGAGCCGCGAGGCGGUUUUUUUCAUCCGCGGGGGUGGUGUGACUUGUUUUAUUCGUGAGCGACGGACCGACUUGUUUUUGAGAAAGUCCCAGGUAGUCAGUACUACUGCAGAACUAGGCCCGGUUCGGGUGGAGUCUGAAACAUAUUUGCAACUUCUGGCUGAGGCUCUGGACUUGCGCAAGGUGGAUUCCUCGGCGUAUGCGGCUGUUAUUGAGGACUUGGAAUAACAACUGAAGCUUUGGUUCUCUAAAUUCUCUAUCUCUGUAUGUAACUAGGCGUAGUGCAAACUCUGUUGCUCACGAGCUGGCCAGUCUUGACCGUAUGUGUGUACCUGAACACUGUAUGGAGUGGGAGUCGGAUGUACCUGCCCAUGUGGGCGAAUGUGUCUUGGACGAUCUGCCCAAACACCGUUAAAUAAUAAAGCUAUGCUGUUUAAACAAAUAUAAUAGUAUUACCUCCAUUUUGAUCUUGCAAUAAAAUGGUAAUAUGUAAAUAAGAAAGUGUUAAAAUGAGACAUACAAAUGGUGCAUUAUGCCCAUAAUAUUUCCGUAAAUUGUGAUCCUAUUAACACGUCAACAGUCCCCUAAACAUUCAUUAUUUUCUCAUAUACAAGCUAAAUGUCGGUGAGUUGCCACAUGCUAAUGAAAAAUGCAUAGACACAUUGACAUGGGAGGCCAGUGGCAACCUGAAUAUAUCCCUAGUCACUAAUAAGCUCCAUCUGCAGCCCACACACCAUUCACCACUAGAAGGGACGCUUGUCGUUCUUCUCUUCCUCAUCCUCCCCUACAGAUCACCUAUUCCUAGGCUCUUCGCCAACCCAUUUUGUUGGGACCAACCAACACCACAUCAACAUCAAUGUGUUCAUCAGCAACGCAUCUUCUUCCUCAUUCCUCGCCAGCUUUAGUUCUGUUCCUACUUAUUUUCUAGAAUACUCUUCCUAUUUUUCCUAUUCUCCAAUAGCAUGGACCACUUGGACGCUUUAGUUUUUUUCCAUCUUAUUUCUUGGAAGACUCUUCCCUUCUACAACACCAUGAACCACCUGGCCAUUAUAGUGUUGUGUUGAUAUGUUUCCUUCCCCAAGUGAUCCACCUGCUACUCUUCCUCAAACAAUUGCUGCUCUUCCUCCUCUUCCCCAGAUUUCAACAAUCUGUCGGGAAAUAUGUUGAAGCAACGGGAUACAUUGAGCCGGAAAACAUCGUGCAGGCCCAUGACAUUCAGAUUACAGUAAAAAUUCUAGUAAUUUAGCAUGCAAUUUCCCAUCCAUCAUUUGUAUAUUAUUACCCCUUUUCCCUGUUGAGAACAUAUGAAACUAAAUUUCCAUUUCCCCUAACUAUGAUUGAAGCUGUCAUCCCUCAUAAAUCAAAGUGGGGGAACAUGUGGGGCAACACUGUUAGACAAAUACGCCUCGGGAAACAAAUCAUGUUAAAAAACUGCAAGUAUUACAUGCAUAUCUCUAACAUAUUAAAAAACCAAGUUCUGGAGCAAUUGAUAUAGAGUAGUAUACAUACAUCAUGCAAAUGACAAGAUAAAUAUUUUAAAAUUUACGAAGGUGUUGAUUGGAGAUAGGCUGCUAAAGGAAUUGAGAGUAGAGUCGAUAUGCGUGUGUGGGUUCCCAAUAUUGGGGUUUUAACUCUUUUUAUUUGCACACUGGUGGGAUCAAACGAGAGGGUGUUUUUCAACCCUUAUGUGGUGUUACGAAGCGAAGCGGAAACGAACACGACAUACAGACUAUCAUUUAAUAGUAGGGACAACAGAGGUUUAUUAAUAGAGGCAUCCACUAUAUUUUAGAUUUUGUUGAGAUUUAAUUUGAUUUGAGUAUGGAUAGAAGAAAGCAAGGCAAGUUUUUAUUAUAAAGUUGAUGUUUUGGUAAGAUUUGAUUUGAUUUGGGUAUGGGGAGUGGAGGGCAAGGAAAGUUUGGAUUUAGUUGAGAUUUUGUUAAGGUUUGAUUUGAUUGAGUUAAUGCAUGACAUUGUUUUGGGAAAGUGCCGAUUUAGUUGGAUUUUGUUUGGUGAAAGUGUCCAUUCUGAUAGUAUUCCAAUCAAAAAAUAAUAGCUUGGUCAUAGAAAAAUGAAACAGAAAAAAGAAAACAAAAAUAAUGAAACAUAGGGAAAAAAAGAAUCCGCGCAUGCUUCAAAUAGGCUGGCCCAACUUUGAUUAUAGUUGAUGUUUUGAUAAGAUUUGAUUUGAUUGGAUAUGAGUAGCAGAAUGCAAGAAAAGUUUGGAUUUUGUUGAGAUUUUGUUAAGAUUUGAUUUUAUCGAGUUAAUGCAUGUUGUAGUUUUGAGAAAGUGCUGAUUUAGUUUGAUUUUUUCUAGAGUGCUGAUUCUGAAAGUAUGCCGACCAUAAAAUAAUCGGCUGAUCAUAGAAAAAAUGAAACUGAAAAAAAGGAAACCAAAAAUAAAACAUAAAAAAAUGCGCGCACACGCCAAAUGGGCCCGGACCAACUUGGUUGAAGUUUCAGCGAAAGGUCAACUAUAUGAAGCGUCAUAUCAGAUUUGCCGAGAGGUUGGUGGGAGAUGAGGCGACGCUACCAACUCUCGUUUAGGAGUAGAGAUGGGCCGAUCCAACUUUGAUUAUAGUUCAUGUUUUGGUAAGAUUUGAUUUGAUUGGGUAUGAGUAGUGUAAUGCAAGGAAAGUUUGGAUUUAGUUGAGAUUUUCUUAAGAUUUGAUUUGAUUGAGUAUGGCGUUGUUCUGGGGAAGUGUUGAUUUGGUAUGAUUUUUUUGGGGAAAGUGCCGAUUCUGAUAUUAUGCUGAGCAGAAAAUAAUAGGUUGGCCAUGAAAAAAAUAAAACAGAAAAAAUAGGAAGCUGAAAAUGAAACAUAGAAAUAAAGGAAAUGUAAAAAUAGGCGUCAAAUGUGUUGGGCAACCUUGGCUGGAGCUUCAACGAAAGGUCACCUGUAUGACGCUCGCAGGCGUCAUGUCGGUUUUGCCGAGGGGUUGGUGGGAGGGGAGGAGACUCUACCAACUCUCUCUUUAGGAGUAGAGAAAAAUGGCCGGGCCAACUUGGCUGAAGCUACAGCGAAAGGUCGCCUGUAUAACGCCCGCGGGCGUCAUAUCAGGUUUGCCGAGGGGUUGGUGGGAGGUAAGGCGAUGCUACCAACUCCCACUUUAGGAGUAUAGAUUAAUGCAUGACGUUGUUUUGGGAAAGUGCCGAUUUGGUUUGAUUUUUUUAGGAAAGUUUGGAUAGUAUACCAAGUAUAAGAUAAUAGUUUAAUCAUAGAAAAAGUGAAACGAAAAAAAGAAACAUAGAAAAAUGAGAAAUAAAAACGUGCGCACGUGUCAAAUGGGAUGGGCCAACUUGGCUGGAGCUUCAGUGAAAGGCCACCCGGGUGGCUCUCACGGGCAUCAUAUCGGGGUUUCCGAGAGAUUGGUGGGAGGUGAAGCGACUAUCAACUCCCCCUUUAGGUGUAGAGAUUGCAAUCGUGAUAUGAACAUUCGAUGCGUCCAGAUCUGUCCCAAUAUUUGAAACGUUGGCCAAUUAAUAUUUGCAGUAAUAUAAUCUUCUUACCGUCAUUUUAGUUUGCGCCAUUUUAGUCUCGCAAUAAAAUGAUAAUACGUAAAUAAAGGUGUGUUAAAAUGAGACGUAUAAAUGGUGCAUUAGGCCCACACUAUUCCUAUAAAUCGUGAUCGUAUUAAAGCGCUAACGGUCCCAUGAUCACUCAUUGUUCCCUCAGAUUGCAAUCUUGGGAUGGUGAUUGGACGGCAGCCGAUAAGUUUGGAUUUGUCCCAAUAUUUAGAACGUUCGCCAAUUCACAUUGGCGGUAAAAUAAUAGUAUUGCUGCAUUUUUGGCCUCGCAAGAAUUUGUUAAUAUGUAAAUAAAAAGGUGUUAAAUUUUUUUAUUUUAUUUAGAAGUGUUCAAAUUGGUCCCCCAAAACGUGGCACAAUACGAGUAACGGCUCAAUAAAGUCGCUCCAGCUGUUGACAAUGAAUAUAUAGGAGGCCCGUCCUUUCGUUCCCAAAUCAAAACCCCUGCUCGCAGAGGACUCUCCAUGGCUUCUCCCCUUCCCACGCAUGGCCAGGGUCCAAUCCCCGGCGACACACAAGCCUCUGCUGGAGGCUUCCACACCUUCCCGUCUCUCGCCGACCAGGGCACUAAGUUCUCAAAGGUACAUCUCAUUAUCUCGCGUUAGGGCUUUUGUUAGAUCUGUAUUGUCCGACUCUGGUCUAAAAACUGCAAACGUGUAUGGAUACUUGGAUCCCAUGCGCACUUCUUUGCUGCAUGCUUUUGCAUCUGUUAACGGGGGCAUGAUUGGGGGUAGGUGGGUUGUUAACGUUUUGUUAUUCUUCCAGAUCGCAACUUCGCCUAACCAUUUUUUUUUCUUUUUGAUAAAGAUGGUCGAUUUGAAAUUGUUUCUUCACUUGAUCUAAUCUUGCUAAUGGAGUUUUUUUACCCGAUCUAAAAAUUAAAAAUGUUUUGCAAUACUUGCCUCCGAUGUUCAUCUCAGCAUGUUUUUUUAUUUUUUGAAUCCACCUCAGCAUGUUCUUAAGAAACAAUUGGCACCGCUAUUUUCCCGAUUGAAGCUCUACUUAACUUAUUUGUAUUUCUUGCUGAUCCGAGCUGCAUACUGGUGUUGUGAAAAAUAUAAAUCUUCAGUAAUAUGUGCAUAGUUAGCUCCGAUUUCCACUCGCUUGACCAUAUACAUGAAUAAAAUGUUAUUUGUUCAAAUAUACCUACUUAUUUAAAAGAACACUCUCUGGAUUUCUCAUCUAAAAGAAAGAGGACUACUGUGAGUAGCUCACUGAAGUUGGGCAAUUCCACAUGAGAAAUUAAGAACAAAAUUCCUUGUUAGUUCACCAUACUCAUGAUCAUGAAUCAUGCUGCUGUUGAUGGUAUUAGAGGUCAUGAUCAUCAUUUUUUUAGUCAUGCAUCUCAAGUCAGCUUUGCUUUAUUUACCAUAACAAUUAAAUGGUGUUUUCUUCCAUCAACAAAAAAUAAAUAGAUGGUGCUUUGCUGCAUGCUUUUGCAUCUGUUACCAAGUUCAAGAAGCAUAUGUUUAUAAUUGAUUUCAAGUUAAAGAAGCAUAUGUUCGGAUGGAGUAGUUUGUUUCUGCUCUAAUAGAUUGUUUUUGCUAUUUUCCUCGUCAUCUCUAUUUCUUUGUGACGGCCUUAGGUAUUAGAGUAGUUCAGCAAGCAUAUGCAUUACAAUUUUCUUAUUGUACUAUCUAUUAAUCUUAUGUCCUGUAUUGCAGACUUGCAUUAUGAAGGCUGCACAGUUUGGACCUUGGUCAGAUCUUCCUACCGAACUCCUGGGCCUUGUCCUAAAGCGCCUCGAUUCCCUUGCUGACCGUGUUCGUCUGAGAGCAGUCUGUCACCCAUGGCGCUCUAAUAGUAUGUUGCAGAAUCUUCCCCUCCCAUUCCCUUGGCUCACCCUCACCAAUGGAACCUUCCUCAGCAUCCCAGGCAGUGAGGUUCACCGCAUGCCUCUACCAGAUGGUGCUCGUUGGCAGGGCUCCAUUGAUAACAGGCUAUUCCUCAUAAGCUGUGAUGGUGCGUGUUCAUUGCUGAACCCUUUUUCCAAGAGCACACUGGAGCUUCCUAAUCUUGCAAGUGUUUGGCAGCGCGAGAUAGAUAACCAUGCUGAAUAUACUGAUGAUCCAGUUUCCUAUAAGUUAGUGGCGCCCUCGCCGCUGGAAUCAUCACCCAAGUCCCUUGUUGCUGCGGUGAUCAUUGGCAAUUGUUAUUCUGUUGAUCUUUGUGUCGUUCGACCACCUGCCACCACUUACUCAUUCAGAGGUAUACGUACUGCACUGGGGGAGCCACCAACAUUAGUGGACCUUGCAUUCUUGGAUGGAAGGCUGUACGUGGUAUCUGGAUUUUUCAAGCUUUUCGUCGUUGAUUUUGGUGAGAACCUUGGUACUUAUCCAAAGAUGACAUGCGUAAUUGACUCUGGUGGUGAUUGUGGAACGCCUCAAUACCUGUCUAAGAAGGUGCUUUAUGGACUCAGCCAGUAUUUAGUGGAAUGUGGUGGUAGGCUGCUGAUGGUGCAAAGAUUUACACACUCACAGGGUUUUAGGAAUUCUCACACUGUUGGAUUUAAUGUCCUUGAGGCAGACUUGCGCACUGACCCUGGUCAGUGGAGAACGGUGAGUGAUUUGGGUGGCCAUGCUCUCUUUCUUGGAAAGCAAAGCUCGAAGUCCCUGCCUGCUGGAGAAUGCAGUGGAUCCCAGGAGGACUGCAUCUACUUCAUCUGCGAUUAUCCUUGUCCAGAGUCUUCUGCAGAACCUCUUCGUGACGCUGCCAUAUACAACGUGAGAAGUGGGAUUAUAAUGCCAUUGCAUUUAAGGAAUCCUGCAGUACUGCAACGCCAAGCUUGUCAGUGGGGCCUGACCUGGUUUUUUCUUUCUGAAGCUAUAUGAUCAACCCAGCAGGAUUUUUUAGUCUUUUGUGGUCAACCAACAUGCCUGGGUUCUGCUCAUCUUUAUCUUACUAAUAUGUUAUUGUGUGCACUUUUAAGUCACUUGGUGACAAUAAUGGGUUCAUGUAAUCGAAUGCUUAAACCUUUCGUUGUGGAAACUUUAUGUUUUAUCUGUGUGGCUAUGCUUUCAACUGACUUGGGAGUUAAUCAUAGCUCUGCACGUAUAUGUUUCUGCCAUGUAGAUAAUUGCUACUUCCUACAGGUGGUGAUUUUUUUCUCCAAAAAGUGGAUAGGCCCGGCCUCUCCAUUAUCAUGAUGCACACAACUGUAGUUUAUU